This 252-nucleotide ribosomal RNA is filed under the name uncultured bacterium. RNAcentral describes it as "partial 16S ribosomal RNA". It matches the Rfam family "Bacterial small subunit ribosomal RNA", at positions 525 to 776 of the family's 1533-position model. The record is from RNAcentral.
ACGGAGGGUCCGAGCGUUAAUCGGAAUUAAUGGGCGUAAAGCGUGCGUAGGCGGUUUGUUAAGCAAGAUGUGAAAGCCCAGGGCUCAACCUUGGAACUGCAUUUUGAACUGGCAAACUAGAGUAUUGUAGAGGGUGGUGGAAUUUCCAGUGUAGCGGUGAAAUGCGUAGAGAUUGGAAGGAACAUCAGUGGCGAAGGCGGCCACCUGGACAAAUACUGACGCUGAGGUACGAAAGCGUGGGGAGCGAACAGG